GCCUACGGGACGCAGCAGUGAGGAAUAUUGGUCAAUGGGCUUACGCCUGAACCAGCCAAGUCGCGUGAGGGAAGACUGCCCUAUGGGUUGUAAACCUCUUUUGUCAGGGAGCAACGCCGGCUACGUGUAGCCGGACUGAGAGUACCUGAAGAAAAAGCAUCGGCUAACUCCGUGCCAGCAGCCGCGGUAAUACGGAGGAUGCGAGCGUUAUCCGGAUUUAUUGGGUUUAAAGGGUGCGUAGGCGGAAUGCCAAGUCAGCGGUAAAAUCGCGGGGCUGAACCUCGCUACGCCGUUGAAACUGGCGU
RNAcentral lists this ribosomal RNA (305 nucleotides) under uncultured bacterium. RNAcentral's name for it is "bacterial SSU rRNA". It matches the Rfam family "Bacterial small subunit ribosomal RNA", at positions 337 to 639 of the family's 1533-position model. The record is from RNAcentral.